RNAcentral lists this ribosomal RNA (253 nucleotides) under uncultured bacterium. RNAcentral describes it as "partial 16S ribosomal RNA". It matches the Rfam family "Bacterial small subunit ribosomal RNA", at positions 524 to 776 of the family's 1533-position model. The record is from RNAcentral.
UACGAACCGUCCAAACGUUAUUCGGAAUUACUGGGCUUAAAGGGUUUGUAGGCGGCCUUGUAAGUGGGGUGUGAAAUCCCUCGGCUCAACCGAGGAAUAGCGCUCCAAACUACAUGGCUUGAGGGAGACAGGGGUAAGCGGAACUGAUGGUGGAGCGGUGAAAUGCGUUGAUAUCCUAAGGAACACCGGUGGCGAAAGCGGCUCACUGGAUCUCUUCUGACGCUGAGGCACGAAAGCUAGGGUAGCGAACGGG